RNAcentral lists this transfer RNA (66 nucleotides) under Clinterocera nigra. RNAcentral describes it as "tRNA-Ala". Lineage: Eukaryota; Metazoa; Arthropoda; Insecta; Coleoptera; Scarabaeidae. The record is from RNAcentral.
AGGGUAAUAGUUAAUUAUAACAUUUAACUUGCACUUAAAAAAUAUUGAAAAUAUCAAUUUACCUUA